AAGAACAAACAUAAAAAA
This 18-nucleotide small RNA is filed under the name Arabidopsis thaliana (thale cress). RNAcentral describes it as "ATSL189440". Lineage: Eukaryota; Viridiplantae; Streptophyta; Magnoliopsida; Brassicales; Brassicaceae. The record is from RNAcentral.